This is a non-coding RNA of Paramormyrops kingsleyae, 271 nucleotides long. NCBI's taxonomy places the organism in Eukaryota, Metazoa, Chordata, Actinopteri, Osteoglossiformes, Mormyridae. The record is from RefSeq and is a predicted model, not a curated record.
CUUACCUGUGUGCACCCGGGAGGAAGACGGUGACGGUCGCACCUGUCCUCCAUUUUGGGGCAGAGCCGGCAAAAACGGCAUUGUGGCGCGACAAGCAAAGAGGUCGGAUCCACACCAAGUACUCCUGGGACUGUGCUAUAAUUGUGUACUGAAAAUCAGACUCUGAACGGACAGCCGGUUUUUCACCUGUAGAUGCCUGUAGAUGGCUGUAGAUGCCUGUAAAUGCCUGGCUCAAGAAAAGUGAAGAUAAAAUAAAAAAGGGAUAAAGAGC